RNAcentral lists this ribosomal RNA (512 nucleotides) under uncultured bacterium. Its description in RNAcentral is "partial 16S ribosomal RNA". It matches the Rfam family "Bacterial small subunit ribosomal RNA", at positions 28 to 506 of the family's 1533-position model. The record is from RNAcentral.
GACGAACGCUGGCGGCGUGCUUAACACAUGCAAGUCGAACGAGAGCGUAGAGAAAGCUUGCUUUUUCUACAAUCUAGUGGCAAACGGGUGAGUAACGCGUAAACAACCUGCCCUACGGAUGGGGACAACAGCUGGAAACGGCUGCUAAUACCGAAUACGUUCCGAAAGUCGCAUGACUAUCGGAAGAAAGGAUGGCCUCUAUUUAUAAGCUAUCGCCGGAGGAGGGGUUUGCGUCUGAUUAGCUAGUUGGAGGGGUAACGGCCCACCAAGGCGACGAUCAGUAGCCGGUCUGAGAGGAUGAACGGCCACAUUGGAACUGAGACACGGUCCAGACUCCUACGGGAGGUAGCAGUGGGGAAUCUUCCGCAAUGGGCGAAAGCCUGACGGAGCAACGCCGCGUGAGUGAAGACGGCCUUCGGGUUGUAAAGCUCUGUUAUACGGGACGAAUAAUCUUGUGGUUAAUACCCAUGAGAAGUGACGGUACCGUAAGAGAAAGCCACGGCUAACUACGU